UAGAGGGGGAAAAGUUAUUUGGAGGCUCACAGUUUCAGAAGUCUCAGUCCAUAGAUGACAGGCUCCAUUCCUUGGGGCUCAAGGUGAGGCAGGACAUCAUGGUGGAAGAGUGGGGCAGAGGGAAGCAGCUCACAUCAUGGUGAUCAAGAAGCAGAGAGAGAUAGACUGCACCCUCCAGAUACAAAAUAUAUACCCAAAGCCAUGCUCCAAUUCCCCCCUCCUCCAGCCACACCCUACCACUUCAGUUACCACUCAGUUAAUCCCUCCCUAUCAGGGGAUUAAAUCAAUGAUUGGGAUAAGGCUUUCACAACCCAGUCCUUUCUCCUCUGAACCUUCUUACACAUUGUCUCACAUGUGAGCUUUUAGAAGACACCUCACAUCCAAACCAUGACAGAAGGGAAGAAUAGUAGACCAGAUAAAACAUAAUUGUGUUCAGGGCAUACACAAAAUAGUAACUGUGGCCCAAGCAGCAUUGUUUUGCAAGGCCAGGGGGCUGCCCAUUCCCAAGAUGUACAUUCAGCGCAAACUCCCAACCCAAUCCAGCCCAGCCUAGCCCAGUGACCUGGAGAUUCCAUUUUAAGUCCUACUCAUCCUGACUUAGCUCUAAAGCACACCUGUAUUUAGUGAGGCUGCCUAUAUUGGACUCAGAAACCUUUGCCACAUGAUAGAAACACCAGUAGCCUCUCACUUGUUCCCCAUUCCCCCUUUACGUCUUAAUAAUUUUCAACCAAUAAAACAGCACACCAUCAAGAACUUUAAGAUUUCUUUAUUGACUAUUAUGAGGUUGCUGGUUUUGCUCUUUCAUUGCUCAGGAAAACUGUAGGCAUGCUGGUAAUUAGCAAGUUAGCACUUCGGUGUCUCAGGGAAACCUGACAUAAAUAGGAAAGAAUGAAAAUAUCGAAGAAUACUUUGUUCCUAGUAUUCUUUUUAAGCUGCCUCAAGUUGUUUUUAAAAGAAGGAGGUACUUAAACAAAUCAAUAAAAAUUUCUCAAAGAAACUUAUCUGUAAGUGAUGACACCACUUUCACACACCUCCCUUGGUCACACACAUGCACACAUCAUGGCAGAAAAUAUUAGUCCUACCAUAUCCUUGGUGAAAGACAAAAGAUUCUGUAGUCAAAUAGUUUUGGAAAACACUACAAUAUCACCUGGAAGAUUUAUAAGACUCAGAUUGCUGGACUGACUUCCAGAGCUUCUGAUUGAGUAGGUCUGACAUAGGCCCAAGACUUAGCAUUUCUAACAAGUUCCCAGGUGAUGCUGAGACUGUUGAUCCUGAGGAACGACACUUU
This 1288-nucleotide long non-coding RNA is filed under the name Marmota monax (woodchuck). Lineage: Eukaryota; Metazoa; Chordata; Mammalia; Rodentia; Sciuridae. The record is from RNAcentral.